UCUUGAAAGAUUUUGUCAUCACCGACAACAAUUGGAUUUCCAUAUAAAAGGUUUCUUGGUAUGACAUGAAAGGAAAAUCAUUUUCAAUAUCGAGGUAAAAUGAGGCUUAUACUGUGCACAUGUUUCUGUUUGAUUUUCAUCAACUAUUUUAUCCUGUGUAUUCCUACUCAGCGUGUAAAUCUUCUGCAAAAGCCAAAAGGUUCCACAGAAACACCAACGGUAAUUGCAGAUGGAAUGUGUUCCUUUUGCAAAACAAACGUAAACUACACGGAAAGUAAAUGUUACGUAUUCUGUGAAAAUAAAUGAUGAAAAUAUGACUUUAUGAUGUCACCAACAGAAUAGAUUCAGCACUGGCAGAUAUUACCUUGAAUUUGAAUUGAUUAGACAUUUAACUUGUAAUAAAUUUUUGUUCGCACAAUGGA
Saccostrea echinata is the source of this 422-nucleotide long non-coding RNA. RefSeq lists it as uncharacterized. The record is from RefSeq and is a predicted model, not a curated record. NCBI's taxonomy places the organism in Eukaryota, Metazoa, Mollusca, Bivalvia, Ostreida, Ostreidae. The transcript has 2 exons.